Molecule: ribosomal RNA, 497 nt
Filed under: uncultured bacterium
Lineage: Bacteria
Description: partial 16S ribosomal RNA
Rfam family: Bacterial small subunit ribosomal RNA
Source: RNAcentral
GAUGAACGCUGGCGGCGUGCCUAAUACAUGCAAGUCGAGCGAACGGACGAGAAGCUUGCUUCUCUGAUGUUAGCGGCGGACGGGUGAGUAACACGUGGAUAACCUACCUAUAAGACUGGGAUAACUUCGGGAAACCGGAGCUAAUACCGGUUAAUAUUUUGAACCGCAUGGUUCAAAAGUAAAAGACGGUCUUGCUGUCACUUAUAGAUGGAUCCGCGCUGCAUUAGCUAGUUGGUAAGGUAACGGCUUACCAAGGCAACGAUGCAUAGCCGACCUGAGAGGGUGAUCGGCCACACUGGAACUGAGACACGGUCCAGACUCCUACGGGAGGCAGCAGUAGGGAAUCUUCCGCAAUGGGCGAAAGCCUGACGGAGCAACGCCGCGUGAGUGAUGAAGGUCUUCGGAUCGUAAAACUCUGUUAUUAGGGAAGAACAUAUGUGUAAGUAACUGUGCACAUCUUGACGGUACCUAAUCAGAAAGCCACGGCUAACUACGUG